Molecule: long non-coding RNA, 2086 nt
Filed under: Amborella trichopoda
Lineage: Eukaryota; Viridiplantae; Streptophyta; Magnoliopsida; Amborellales; Amborellaceae
Description: long non-coding RNA (ATRI_LNC000827)
Source: RNAcentral
ACAUUACAAUAAAAAGAGAAGAUAAUUAAAAAUAUAAAAAUAGAUAUAAUUUUAUUAAGCAAAAUAAUUUUUUUUUAAAACAAUCGAUUUCUCAAAGAAAAACCCGAAAAUCGAACAUUAUUUCGAGCAAAAAAUGGCCUUCAAUCUUUUAAUAACCAAAACGUAAACAUAGCUACAUCGUAAAGGCUUCGAUCAUCUUUCAAACACACCAAAUUUCAUAAAAAAUGACUCAGUAGUGAAGAUUUAAAUGAAAAAAUGACAGAAAUUUCAGAUCUACAAAUUUUUUUGUCACAACGAGCAAGAAAACAAUUCAUAUAUAAAAACUUUUCUCCAUCAUAAAUAAAUUUACCGAUUUUAUUUGAGAAAUGAAGCCAUAAUGAUAAGACACCACAACUCAAUUUGUUCUAAAACGAGCAAUAAAUUGAUAAUUUUAAAAAAAAAUUGGAUCGAUCUCAGGUUUUUUUAGUAGCAGUGUUUUGGGCCAAAAUCAACCCACAAUCUUAUGUAGGUUGAACAAAAUGAAACAUAGAUCUGAUAGAAGGUAAUAUUAUCUAUCAAACACCCUAAAUUUUAUAAAAAAUGAUUUGGUAAUGAAAAUUUAAUUGAAGAAAUUGCAGAAAUUUCAAAAAUCGUGAAAAAAAAAAACAAUUUCAAUCAAUUAAAACUCUGUUUUUAUCGAUCUUUCAUUUUAAAACCUUGUUUUAUCGACAAAAUAUGAAAAUUACGUAAACAAAUACACUGAAAAGUGCCAAAAUAUGGCAGAAAAAUGAAUAAAAAAAACCGUUUUUUCCUACACUGGUCUACAGUAUCCAUGGUAUAAAUGUGGCAUGGUCUACAGUUGAUUUUGGGUACCACUUUUCUUAAAAAUUUGGAUACAGCAAAACACGUCCUUGACAAAAAAAAAAAAAAAAAAAUUCAUACUGAAUUAGAGGUUAUCCGAAAAGAUUUCUUACUAUUGUGGAACUGUACUAUCUAUUUAGUUCUUCAGGUAUAACACAUGCUAGUGAUACUGUUUAGAUCUCAAUUUUUGAGGAUGUAAUCUCUAUAACCCAUAGAAUAACUUAAAUAUUUUUUGAAAUAAAACUUUCUAUAUCCUAGGACUACUUAAUUCCUCAAGAAUGAAUAGAGAUCGUCCAAUUUUGAAGGUUUAGAUCGAAGUGUCAAAAUUCAAGGUUUCUCUUUUAAAAAUUAUCAUAUGGUGAUUCUUAUAUGGUUCUCAAAAUUUUAUAUUAAACAAAAUCCUCCUAAAUAGGUGAUUAGAGCGAGGGAGUCCUUGUAUAGUACAUUCUCAUAGGAGCAUAGUAUAUACGCUUAUAAGUUAUAUAAUACAACUUGGGUUAUGUUAGGGUGCUCACACUAUAGAGUAAUUUAACAUUGUACUCAAUAAAAUUUGGACACUUAUAUAUCUUUAUUUUGUACAUGGAAUUCUUUUUAGUAAAGGUAUUUUUGGUUAUUAGGAACAUAACGUCAACUACAUAGAGCGUGAUGUCACGUCAUAUCUCUCCUAAAGACAAAAAAUGCUCCUAUUAAAAAAAAUAGUCUAUAUACAAAAUAAGAGUAAAGAAAUAUCCAAAUUUUGUUAAGUACAAUGAUAAAUUACUCAAUAGUAGCACCCUUAACAUAACCCAUACAACUUUAUUCUAUUGUCUUGUAGUGGUAGCUUUACAAACUUUCGAAGCACAUCUAAAAAAAUACGUCAUGUGCAAUCGUAUAAUAAGUAGAAAGUGAGUCCACACCGAACAACAGUCAUAAUACAUAAAGAAAAAAGUCUAUAUAGAGCCGAAGCUCUAAACAAUCAAAUUAGAGCCCACUGCAAAAAUUUCACUAGAAGAUGUUGUUUUGAUGCUCAAAUAUCUCCAAAUUGAUCAUCUCGACAUCAAGACACAUGGACAUGAGAAAAAAAUGGAUUUCAAGGUUUGGAAAUAAUGCAUCUUGUAAUGCAUUAUUUGACUAUAUAUAUAUAAAUUAUUUGCUCCUCUAAAAAAAUCUCUUUGAUAUUAAGGGUAUGGUUUGUAUAAGACCCAAGAACGAUCAAAAUAAGGCUUACCUUCCAAUUGUAUUGAAAGAUGUUGUAUCACUACUAAAA